GGGUACCCAGUUCAUAUGAAUUUCAGGUCAACAACAAGCAAUUUUUUUUAGUGCUGUAUGUCCCAAUACUAAUGUUUGGGACCUACUUAUGCUAAAAUAUUAUUUGUUGUUUACCCGAAGUCAAAAUUUAAC
Molecule: microRNA precursor, 132 nt
Filed under: Myotis lucifugus (little brown bat)
Lineage: Eukaryota; Metazoa; Chordata; Mammalia; Chiroptera; Vespertilionidae
Description: miRNA (ENSMLUG00000020679.2)
Source: RNAcentral